GUUAGCAUAACCAAACCGAUCUAUGCAUGUAAAUCAGUCUAUUUUCUAUCGAAGAAACUCUAGUUAUCAGAUAUGACAUUUUAUUUGGGACAUGGCUUUUAUUUUAGCACCACCUCUGAUUUUAUAAAUAGGGGGCAGCAGAUAGGGUUGAUCAUUCAACUCUUAUACAACCUUAUCUACUCCCUCUCUCCCUCUCUUAC
RNAcentral lists this long non-coding RNA (200 nucleotides) under Elaeis guineensis (African oil palm). RNAcentral's name for it is "long non-coding RNA (EGUI_LNC034320)". Lineage: Eukaryota; Viridiplantae; Streptophyta; Magnoliopsida; Arecales; Arecaceae. The record is from RNAcentral.